Pangasianodon gigas (Mekong giant catfish) is the source of this 72-nucleotide non-coding RNA. The record is from the annotation of a GenBank genome assembly. NCBI's taxonomy places the organism in Eukaryota, Metazoa, Chordata, Actinopteri, Siluriformes, Pangasiidae.
UCCCUAGAGGACUAGUGGUUAAGCCUCAGCGCUCUCACUGCCGCGUCCCGGGUUCGAGUCACAGCCAAGGAA